Molecule: long non-coding RNA, 227 nt
Filed under: Carica papaya (papaya)
Lineage: Eukaryota; Viridiplantae; Streptophyta; Magnoliopsida; Brassicales; Caricaceae
Description: long non-coding RNA (CPAP_LNC001420)
Source: RNAcentral
CCGUCCGAUCGCGAUUAAAAUAGAAAUAAAUCUGGAUCGUCCAUCGCGAUGUGAUCUGGACCGUCCGUGCGUGAUUCAAUCUGGGUCGUCCGCACACGUGAGAUUUGGACCGUCCGUGUGCGUGAGAUCUGGGCCAUCCGCACGCGUGAGAUCUGGACCGUUCGAUCGCGUGCGCGCAGAUCUUUCACGUGGCUCUGUCCGCGUGGUCUCCCGCGUUAGCUUCCUUG